GUCCAGGGUAGCUUAGGGGUCAUGGCAUCUGCCCGGUAAGCGGAAGGUCGUGGGUUCGAUUCCCAUCCCUUGACA
Molecule: non-coding RNA, 75 nt
Organism: Cordylochernes scorpioides
Lineage: Eukaryota; Metazoa; Arthropoda; Arachnida; Pseudoscorpiones; Chernetidae
Source: the annotation of a GenBank genome assembly